GCCAGGCAUGGUGGUGCGUGCCUGUAGUCCCACCUACUCGGGAAGCCGAGACAGGAGGAUCCCUCGAGUCCAGGAGUUCGAGGCUGCAGUGAGCUAUGAUUGCACCACUGCACUCCAGCCUGGGUGACAGAGCGAGACCCUGUCUCAA
RNAcentral lists this non-coding RNA (148 nucleotides) under Gorilla gorilla gorilla (western lowland gorilla). Lineage: Eukaryota; Metazoa; Chordata; Mammalia; Primates; Hominidae. The record is from Rfam by way of RNAcentral.